AGUUCUCACACUUCUGGACUCAGAAACUGAUUUCAGGACAUCUCUAUCAUGGUCUGGGCCCUUCUCCUGCUUGCCCUCUUCAGUGACUGCCCAGGGUCCUGGGCACAGUCUAGGCUGACACAAGAAGCUUCAGUGUCAGGGUCUGUGGGACAGAAGGUCACCCUCUCCUGUGCAGGAAGCAGUAACAGUGUUGGGGCAAGCAAUGUAGGCUGGUACCAACAGAUUUCUGGUGCAGCACCCAAAACUGUGAUGAUCACAAGUACUCGACCCUCAGGGAUCCCAGAUCGGUUCUCUGGGAUCAAAUCAGGCAGCACAGCCUAUCUCACCAUCUCAAGUAUCCAGCCUGAGGAUGAGGCUGAUUACUACUGCUCAGCAUGGGAUUAUAGCAUCAGCAGUGGCACAGUGCUUUAUACCCAUAGGAAACUAAGACAAAAACUCUUAUCUUCCAUGAUCACACCCUUGACUCUUUAUGAAGAAAAACUGUCAAGAGGUUGUUUAUGGAGAAUUGUAGUUGAAUCUGAUUUUUCACAUACAGAUCCAAUUAAAGGUUCAGUGAUGGCCAUAGCCUCACAUUACUUUUUCUUAAAUAGCUUUGUUGAAAUAUAA
This is a non-coding RNA of Erinaceus europaeus (western European hedgehog), 606 nucleotides long. The record is from the annotation of a RefSeq genome assembly. Lineage: Eukaryota; Metazoa; Chordata; Mammalia; Eulipotyphla; Erinaceidae.